GCGGAAGUAGCUCAGUAGGCAGAGCAUCAGCUUCCCAAGCUGAGGGUCGCGNNCGAAUCCCGUUUUCCGCUCAA
RNAcentral lists this transfer RNA (74 nucleotides) under Rikenellaceae bacterium. RNAcentral describes it as "tRNA-Gly". It matches the Rfam family "tRNA". Rfam says of the family: Transfer RNA (tRNA) molecules are approximately 80 nucleotides in length. Their secondary structure includes four short double-helical elements and three loops (D, anti-codon, and T loops). The record is from RNAcentral. Lineage: Bacteria; Pseudomonadati; Bacteroidota; Bacteroidia; Bacteroidales; Rikenellaceae.